Molecule: long non-coding RNA, 756 nt
Filed under: Homo sapiens (human)
Lineage: Eukaryota; Metazoa; Chordata; Mammalia; Primates; Hominidae
Description: mir-99a-let-7c cluster host gene
Source: RNAcentral
AAUGAACCAGUAAUUUCGGAGUGAUCAUCUUUUCUCUUCCUUAGCUCACAGAUAUUUGCUGCUAUCUGUUUUACGCUUUCACAAUAACUUCCAUUUGCAUCACUCUUUACAUGACUACAUCUGAGAGAAGUGUACGCUUUCUUUAGCUUGCCCAUGGUGAUGUGAAGAUGAGAAGAAAUAGCAAGGCCCAACCAGUUCUUCAUCUGGAGACAGUUCAACGUUCUGCAAACCAGAUCUUCAGGAAUUUUACUGGGAUAAUUAUCCAAAUAAAUUGCAAGCAUUCUAUCCAAAUGGAGCUCUUUCUGAGAUGAAGAGAAUUCUCAAUGUCAAGAUUUGAACAAGAAGAGAAUGGAAUACACAAUAUGGACAUCCAUAAAAAUUCAUCAGAGAGCAUUUUACUACUGAGCUGCAAAGGGAAAAACUUAAAAUGGAUAUGAAAAGUGAAGAAAGUGAUCAUAGGAGAAAACCAUUUCAGGUAAAAAUAAAAAACAAAGAGCAAAUAAGAUUUACUGUUUUUAAAGAAAAACAACAUUCUUUUGACUGUGUUUUGUUAUAAGAAUUAAUUUCAUAUUCUUUAUGAGUGUAACUGUUGAAAUUUUAUUGAUGGUUUUCAUUUGAAAAUGUGUGCUAUGACCUACCUUUGUGAAAAAUUUCUUGUGGUCAAUUGGGCAGUUUGUGUCCCAUUGAAUAUAUGUCUGUGUAUCCAUACGCUUAAGAUAGGUGCAAUACGGUUUACUAGAAAGCUUUAUAGGAAAA